Molecule: long non-coding RNA, 2511 nt
Organism: Anopheles stephensi (Asian malaria mosquito)
Lineage: Eukaryota; Metazoa; Arthropoda; Insecta; Diptera; Culicidae
Exons: 3
Source: RefSeq, a predicted model, not a curated record
GAUUGAGAGAGUCCAGUAAAACAAGAACCUAUAUCUCUGCUUCAAGAAACGGUAUACCGUCGGUCUGCUGGUUACAUGAAACCAUUCGUAGUACACCAGGCAAAGGGCGCCAACAACUAUCGUCAGCUAUCCGAAGAGACAACUUCACCAACACACUGCAAAAGCAUAGCCGUUGGCCGCGAUUGUGUGCCAACGCCAAGCGAGCCUAUAUCUGUGUCUGCGGGCCAACAUUUGCUAGAAUGGCAGUCAUAACGGGGCUCGCGUUCGCUGUCGCCUGCCAACAUCGUGCCCUGCCUCCAUCUUACUUCUCCUUCCCGGUUGCUAGCGCCUUGUAGACGCAUUCUGGUUUUCGCCAAAGCCCAGCUGCUGAAGGCAAAAAUUAUGCAACGCCAGGCAAGUAAGUGAGCAGAGCUAGGUACUUCGGGACCGAAGACAAAAAACAAAACGGGUAAGCGUGUUGUCAACCAGACGUAGGUCCAGAAUUAUGCCUGUUCGUGUCGAGGGGUUUUGUGUUUUCUGUUGAGAAGGCAAAUCGGCAGCCGAAAAACACCUAAUAACCGCUGAUUAUACCAUUCAUACGAAAACGAGCUCCAAGCUAACAGGUGAGCGAGAGAGAGAGAGAGAGAGAGUACCUGCCAGAGAUAGCACGCCGUAAUUGGAAGGCAAUUAGUUCGUAAGUGUAUUACGGACUUAACACCCGAAAAGCAAAACGGAAAUAGAUAUUCUUAAUGAGGAUGAAUGAUAUCUAUAGACAGAGGAGUACUUCUGGAUGUUAUCCGGGGGACUAACGGAAGAGAUAUUCUGCAAAUAAAUACAGGUUCUAGUGUAUGACUACUCAUCAGGUAUCUUCAGGACGCUUCCCAUCAUCUGAAUAUUUCAAUGCUCUUUUGGCAUCAAAGUUGUCUGUUUGAAGUUGAGAUAUUGAGAAGUGCUGUAAGAGGUAGACAUGGUCCUACGACUUCAACUUCACUAGCCUACACCUUCCCGCAUAACAGUUAGCGAAUACUUUGCAGCCCAGAAGAAUCCUCAUUCAAGAAAGUUAGCACACCGGAGCACACCGACAGGACAGUUAUGAUGAACCUUCGCUCCAAUAAAAUCGCUCGCCGAUGUGAGUGAUGAUGCAGCGCUAUCUAGGCAGUAGGAUGGCUGUACAAAAAUAAAACAAGGUGUCACAUACUGCUUCUUCGCUUGCCAAGCGAUCCGAUGCGACCGUGCACACGUUUGCGUCCCCUUUUUUCCCGCGUGUGGACCCCGAUAGUCUUGAACUUGAACCUUUUUGACGUGGUGAGCACGCGCGACCGAUAUCGCAAAAAAACCGGGCCAGAGCGGAACGUCGUGUCGCAGCAGAAAUGCGCGCAUCAACAAUAAGUGAGGUGUCGAGUUUGCACCACCGAACGACUUCGGACUUUGGGUGCACAGCAAACAAACAAACUAAGGGGGGAAAAAAAAACUGCGUUCAUCGCUCAUAUCUAACGUCCAUUUUGUUGGUGCAGAAAGCGAAAAGUGUGGAGAGAGAGAGAGUGAGUUGGUUCCUCGGUAAGCAAAACAGGUGCUGCUGACCACUCGAGAAGUUACCACCCCACCAGAGAGCCACCGGGCCGGCAAUCAUUUGUUGUGGCCCGUGUAAACGCUCCGCAGAGGACCGUGAGAAGCGGGCCUCAAGGGCGGAUCUCGGAAGUCCUAAUCUUCUUCCACUGCCCCAUCGUGGCCAAUUUGCUGUACGCUGUUGUGUGUAUGUGUGUGUACACGUGUCGAGCUAUCGCGGGAGGGUUUUGCCAUUUGCCACGUCGCCCGGCACAGGAGCACUUGGCUUCAAUUAAAUGCCAUGACAACGAACCGUGAGGACAACACCAAUUCCGAUAUCUCGAGUGGUGAGAGCUCUUGUGAACGAGCUCGGGCAGGCAAACCUGAAACCGAAACCACUCGUCGGAUGGCCGGUGUCGCAUACAACCCCCCAGCGACAACGACACGGAGCGAAUUAAUACCCGGUAAAAUGGCGGUCGAUACUGGACAGUGCAGAGAAUCGAGAUAAUUAGGUGUUUGCAGCGCUGAGUUCGCGUAAUCGUGGAGCACCCAGUAGCGAUGAAGAUGUAACACCAAUGUUCCAGGGGCGGAGGGUUAUGAUGUCAUCCCGCCAGAGUGUUCCCCCGAAAAGUCUACCAAUCUCAAUUAAGACACAAUGGCCGACAAACCUUACAUGGCAGUGCAUGCACUGACUGCAAGCGGCCUGACAGUUUCUGGCCAGUCUUCCGGUGAUAUGGACUGCCGUCGAUAAGACAAAUAUCAGAUUUGUUUGACAGCCCUAUACCGCCGCUCGCGCACCGGCCCAAGAUACUAUCGCAGUCCACUAAAUGUGCCCAGUGGUGUAUCUUUACCUUCACGUCCGGUCCGGCACCGAAAUGAUAAGAUAACGACGGCCCUAACAGUCUCGACCGUACGCCUGUUCCCGUCUAUUACCACCUGCGUACAAUAAAUGGACCCACCCUCGCUCGCGUGUGUUAUGCUGUAAUU